GGCUACCAUGCAAGUCGAGCGGUAACAGGAAUUAGCUUGCUAAUUUGCUGACGAGCGGCGGACGGGUGAGUAAUGCCUAGGGAACUGCCCAAUCGAGGGGGAUAACAGUUGGAAACGACUGCUAAUACCGCAUACGCCCUACGGGGGAAAAGAGGGGACCUUCGGGCCUUCUGCGAUUGGAUGUACCUAGGUGGGAUUAGCUAGUUGGUGAGGUAAUGGCUCACCAAGGCGACGAUCCCUAGCUGUUCUGAGAGGAUGAUCAGCCACACUGGGACUGAGACACGGCCCAGACUCCUACGGGAGGCAGCAGUGGGGAAUAUUGCACAAUGGGCGCAAGCCUGAUGCAGCCAUGCCGCGUGUGUGAAGAANGCCUUCGGGUUGUAAAGCACUUUCAGCGAGGAGGAAAGCUUAANCGUUAAUAGCGUUUANGUGUGACGUUACUCNCAAAAAAAGGACCGGCUAACUUCUUGCCAGCAGCCGCGGUAAUAC
Molecule: ribosomal RNA, 489 nt
Filed under: Shewanella colwelliana
Lineage: Bacteria; Pseudomonadati; Pseudomonadota; Gammaproteobacteria; Alteromonadales; Shewanellaceae
Description: bacterial SSU rRNA
Rfam family: Bacterial small subunit ribosomal RNA
Source: RNAcentral